ACUCCUACGGGAGGCAGCAGUAGGGAAUCUUCCACAAUGGGCGCAAGCCUGAUGGAGCAACACCGCGUGAGUGAAGAAGGGUUUCGGCUCGUAAAGCUCUGUUGUUAAAGAAGAACACGUAUGAGAGUAACUGUUCAUACGUUGACGGUAUUUAACCAGAAAGUCACGGCUAACUACGUGCCAGCAGCCGCGGUAAUACGUAGGUGGCAAGCGUUAUCCGGAUUUAUUGGGGCGUAAAGAGAGUGCAGGCGGUUUUCUAAGUCUGAUGUGAAAGCCUUCGGCUUAACCGGAGAAGUGCAUCGGAAACUGGAUAACUUGAGUGCAGAAGAGGGUAGUGGAACUCCAUGUGUAGCGGUGGAAUGCGUAGAUAUAUGGAAGAACACCAGUGGCGAACGGCGGCUACCUGGUCUGCAACUGACGCUGAGACUCGAAAGCAUGGGUAGCGAACAGGAUUAGAUACCCUGGUAGGAAAGCG
This 475-nucleotide ribosomal RNA is filed under the name uncultured bacterium. RNAcentral describes it as "bacterial SSU rRNA". It matches the Rfam family "Bacterial small subunit ribosomal RNA", at positions 335 to 801 of the family's 1533-position model. The record is from RNAcentral.